GAUGAACGCUGGCGGCGUGCCUAAUACAUGCAAGUCGAGCGAACAGACGAGGAGCUUGCUCCUCUGACGUUACCGGCGGACGGGUGAGUAACACGUGGAUAACCUACCUAUAAGACUGGGAUAACUUCGGGAAACCGGAGCUAAUACCGGAUAAUAUAUUGAACGGCAUGGUUCAAUAGUGAAAGACGGUUUUGCUGUCACUUAUAGAUGGAUCCGCGCCGCAUUAGCUAGUUGGUAAGGUAACGGCUUACCAAGGCAACGAUGCGUAGCCGACCUGAGAGGGUGAUCGGCCACACUGGAACUGAGACACGGUCCAGACUCCUACGGGAGGCAGCAGUAGGGAAUCUUCCGCAAUGGGCGAAAGCCUGACGGAGCAACGCCGCGUGAGUGAUGAAGGUCUUCGGAUCGUAAAGCUCUGUUAGUAGGGAAGAACAAAUGUGUAAGUAUCUAUGCACGUCUUGACGGUACCUAAACAGAAAGCCACGGCUAACUACGUG
Molecule: ribosomal RNA, 497 nt
Filed under: uncultured bacterium
Lineage: Bacteria
Description: partial 16S ribosomal RNA
Rfam family: Bacterial small subunit ribosomal RNA
Source: RNAcentral